UGAGUAACCUGCCCUUGACCCUGGAAUAACAGCUGGAAACAGCUGCUAAUACCGGAUACGACCUCCGAUGGCAUCAUCUGGAGGUGGAAAGCUCCGACGGUCAAGGAUGGGCUCGCGGCCUAUCAGCUUUGUUGGUGAGGUAACGGCUCACCAAGGCUUCGACGGGUAGCCGGCCUGGAGAGGGCGACCGGCCACACGUGGGACUGAGAUACCGGCCCAGACUCCGUACGGGAGCAG
RNAcentral lists this ribosomal RNA (237 nucleotides) under uncultured bacterium. Its description in RNAcentral is "partial 16S ribosomal RNA". It matches the Rfam family "Bacterial small subunit ribosomal RNA", at positions 118 to 347 of the family's 1533-position model. The record is from RNAcentral.